Molecule: ribosomal RNA, 253 nt
Filed under: uncultured bacterium
Lineage: Bacteria
Description: partial 16S ribosomal RNA
Rfam family: Bacterial small subunit ribosomal RNA
Source: RNAcentral
UACGUAGGUGGCAAGCGUUGUCCGGAUUUACUGGGCGUAAAGAGCGCGCAGGCGGUUGUUUAAGUCGGAUGUGAAAGCCCCCGGCUCAACUGGGGAGGGUCAUUCGAUACUGAUCGACUUGAAGGCAGGAGAGGGAAGUGGAAUUCCGGGUGUAGUGGUGAAAUGCGUAGAUAUCCGGAGGAACACCAGUGGCGAAGGCGACUUCCUGGCCUGUUCUUGACGCUGAGGCGCGAAAGCUGGGGGAGCAAACGGG